Molecule: ribosomal RNA, 305 nt
Filed under: uncultured bacterium
Lineage: Bacteria
Description: bacterial SSU rRNA
Rfam family: Bacterial small subunit ribosomal RNA
Source: RNAcentral
GGGCCUACGGGGGGCAGCAGUGAGGAAUAUUGGUCAAUGGGCGGAAGCCUGAACCAGCCAAGUCGCGUGAGGGAAGAAGGCCCUGCGGGUCGCAGACCUCUUUGGACGGGGAGCAAGGCCGCCGACGUGUCGGCGGAAGGAGAGUACCCGUAGAACAAGCAUCGGCUAACUCCGUGCCAGCAGCCGCGGUAAUACGGAGGAUGCGAGCGUUAUCCGGAUUUAUUGGGUUUAAAGGGUGCGUAGGCCGGCUUUUAAGUCAGCUGUGAAAGUCCGCGGCUCAACCGUGGAAUUGCAGUUGAAACUGG